RNAcentral lists this ribosomal RNA (460 nucleotides) under uncultured bacterium. RNAcentral's name for it is "partial 16S ribosomal RNA". It matches the Rfam family "Bacterial small subunit ribosomal RNA", at positions 338 to 795 of the family's 1533-position model. The record is from RNAcentral.
CCUACGGGAGGCAGCAGUGAGGAAUAUUGGUCAAUGGACGCAAGUCUGAACCAGCCAUGCCGCGUGCAGGAAGACGGCUCUAUGAGUUGUAAACUGCUUUUGUACGAGGGUAAACGCAGAUACGCGUAUCUGUCUGAAAGUAUCGUACGAAUAAGGAUCGGCUAACUCCGUGCCAGCAGCCGCGGUAAUACGGAGGAUUCAAGCGUUAUCCGGAUUUAUUUGGUUUAAAGGGUGCGUAGGCGGUCGGAUAAGUUAGAGGUGAAAUCCCGAGGCUCAACGUCGGAAUUGCCGCUGAUACUGGUCGGCUAGAGAGUAGUUGCGGUAGGCGGAAUGUAUGGUGUAGCGGUGAAAUGCUUAGAGAUCAUACAGAACACCGAUUGCGAAGGCAGCUUACCAGGCUACUUCUGACGUUGAGGCACGAAAGCGUGGGGAGCAAACAGGAUUAGAUACCCUUGUAGUC